RNAcentral lists this ribosomal RNA (467 nucleotides) under uncultured bacterium. RNAcentral's name for it is "partial 16S ribosomal RNA". It matches the Rfam family "Bacterial small subunit ribosomal RNA", at positions 29 to 507 of the family's 1533-position model. The record is from RNAcentral.
ACGCACGCUGGCGGCGUGCUUAACACAUGCAAGUCGAACGGAAAGGCCCUGCUUUUGUGGGGUGCUCGAGUGGCGAACGGGUGAGUAACACGUGAGUAACCUGCCCUUGACUUUGGGAUAACUUCAGGAAACCGGGGCUAAUACCGGAUAGGAGCUCCUGCUGCAUGGUGGGGGUUGGAAAGUUUCGGCGGUUGGGGAUGGACUCGCGGCUUAUCAGCUUGUUGGUGGGGUAGUGGCUUACCAAGGCUUUGACGGGUAGCCGGCCUGAGAGGGUGACCGGCCACAUUGGGACUGAGAUACGGCCCAGACUCCUACGGGAGGCAGCAGUGGGGAAUAUUGCACAAUGGGCGGAAGCCUGAUGCAGCAACGCCGCGUGCGGGAUGACGGCCUUCGGGUUGUAAACCGCUUUCGCCUGUGACGAAGCGUGAGUGACGGUAAUGGGUAAAGAAGCACCGGCUAACUACGUG